GAUGAACGCUGGCGGCGUGCUUAACACAUGCAAGUCGAACGAAGCAUUUGCGACAGAUUUUUUCGGAAUGAAGUUGCUUAUGACUGAGUGGCGGACGGGUGAGUAACGCGUGGGUAACCUGCCUUGUACUGGGGGAUAGCAGCUGGAAACGGCUGGUAUACCGCAUAAGCGCUCAAUGUUGCAUGACAUGGUGUGAAAAACUCCGGUGGUAUAAGAUGGAACCGCGUCUGAUUAGCUAGUUGGUGAGAUAACAGCCCACCAAGGCGACGUUGAGUAGCCGACCUGAGAGGGAGACCGGCGACAUUUGGACUGGGACACGGCCCAGACUCCUACGGGAGGGAGCAAUGGGGAAUAUUGCAAAAUGGAGGGAACUCUGAUGCAGCGACGACGGGUGAGUGAAGAAGUAAUUCGUUAUGUAAAGCUCUAUCAGCAGGGAAGAUAGUGACGGUACCUGACUAAGAAGCCCCGGCUAAAUACGUG
Molecule: ribosomal RNA, 480 nt
Filed under: uncultured bacterium
Lineage: Bacteria
Description: partial 16S ribosomal RNA
Rfam family: Bacterial small subunit ribosomal RNA
Source: RNAcentral